Molecule: long non-coding RNA, 339 nt
Filed under: Malus domestica (apple)
Lineage: Eukaryota; Viridiplantae; Streptophyta; Magnoliopsida; Rosales; Rosaceae
Description: long non-coding RNA (MDOM_LNC020480)
Source: RNAcentral
GAUAGCUUGACCCCAACAAUGCCGUGGACACUCCGAUGGAAUGCCGUUUGACAUGAUCAAAGAUCAAAGACCUAACCAUUAGACAUCUAUGAUGCCUCAGGUCAAAGGACUACUUUGCAUAUUGCAACUUUAGAGUUCAUACAUGACAUGUAUGUUCGAACUCUCUUUUUAUCGUAGUUCAGUGUACUCGAUUACUCUUUCGAGCACCUAUGUAUUUGUCUUAGUGUCCAACACCAAAUGACUUGAGACUAGUCAUACUCACGCUUGAGUCUGAAGGAAAUCUUUUGGGAAAACAUGUUCAUUUGAGCAACAUCAUAUAGCAUGCAAUUAACAAUUAAA